CGCAGCCGCGGUAAUUCCAGCUCCAAUAGCGUAUAUUAAAGUUGUUGCAGUUAAAAAAGCUCGUAGUUGAAUUUCGGGAUCAAAUUGUCGGUCGUGCCUCGGUACGCACUGGUAUUAUUGGUUCCUACCUUCUGAAGAACCGCGAUGUCAUUAAUUUGGUGUCGUGGGGAAUCAGGACUGUUACUUUGAAAAAAAUUAGAGUGUUUAAAGCAGGCUUACGCUUGAAUACAUUAGCAUGGAAUAAUGAAAUAGGACGUUUGAUUCUAUUUUUGUUGGUUUCUAGGAUUGACGUAAUGAUUAAUAGGGAUAGUUGGGGGCAUUAGUAUUCAAUUGUCAGAGGUGAAAUUCUUGGAUUUAUUGAAGACUAACUACUGCGAAAGCAUUUGCCAAGGAUGUUUCCAUUAAUCAAGAACGAAAGUUAGGGGAUCGAAGACGAUCAGAUACCGUCGUAGUCUUAACCAUAAACUAUGCCGACUAGGGAUCGGAUGAUGUUAAUUUUUUUAAUGACUCAUUCGGCGCC
This 520-nucleotide ribosomal RNA is filed under the name uncultured Glomus. RNAcentral describes it as "SSU rRNA". It matches the Rfam family "Eukaryotic small subunit ribosomal RNA", at positions 569 to 1087 of the family's 1831-position model. Lineage: Eukaryota; Fungi; Glomeromycota; Glomeromycetes; Glomerales; Glomeraceae. The record is from RNAcentral.